This 16-nucleotide transfer RNA is filed under the name Crocidura wuchihensis. Its description in RNAcentral is "partial tRNA-Met". Lineage: Eukaryota; Metazoa; Chordata; Mammalia; Eulipotyphla; Soricidae. RNAcentral also lists the same sequence under 1 other name. The record is from RNAcentral.
AUACCUUCCCCUACUA